RNAcentral lists this microRNA precursor (84 nucleotides) under Cavia porcellus (domestic guinea pig). Its description in RNAcentral is "miRNA (ENSCPOG00000017079.3)". Lineage: Eukaryota; Metazoa; Chordata; Mammalia; Rodentia; Caviidae. The record is from RNAcentral.
UCUCUGAGUUCUAAUAAACAGAGGGGGCUGUGGUGGUGGCACCUACCUGUAUUGUCAGCACUUGGGAGGCUGAGGCAGGAGGAU